AUGGUAAGGGCACACGGUGGAUGCCUUGGCACAGGAAGCCGACGAAGGACGUGACAAGCUGCGAUAAGCCACGGUUAGGAGCACAUAUCCGCUUGACCCGUGGAUCUCCGAAUGGGCGAACCCGGCGGGGGCCAUACCCCGCCGCCGCGCGCUGAACACAUAGGCGCGCCGGAGGCAACCCGGGGAACUGAAACAUCUAAGUACCCGGAGGAAGAGAAAUCAAACGAGAUUCCCCUAGUAGUGGCGAGCGAACGGGGACCUAGGGCAAACCGCCGGUUGCUUCGGCGCCGGCGGGGUUGUAGGACCACCCACAUGGCAGUCACAAACCCCCGCGGAAGCGGAACGGCCUGGGAAGGCCGGCGAGACAGGGUUAGAGCCCCGUACGCGAAUCCGAGGGGGCUGCCGGGUGGCACCUGAGUACUGCCGGACACGUGAAACCCGGUGGGAAGCCGGGGGGACCACCCUCCAACCCUAAAUACUCUCCUGUGACCGAUAGUGGACAAGUACCGUGAGGGAAAGGUGAAAAGCACCCCGGGAGGGGAGUGAAAUAGUACCUGAAACCGUGUGCCUACAAGCAGUCGGAGCAGUGCUUGCACUGUGACGGCGUGCCUUUUGUAGAAUGAGCCAGCGAGUUACGGCGUGUGGCGAGGUUAAGCUAGCAAGCGAGCCGCAGCGAGAGCGAGUCUGAACAGGGCGCUCAGUCGCACACCGUAGACGCGAAGCCGGGUGAGCUAUCCAUGGGCAGGCUGAAGCGGGGGUAAGACCCCGUGGAGGGCCGAACCCACCUAGGUUGAAAACUGGGGGGAUGACCUGUGGAUAGGAGUGAAAGGCCUAUCAAACCCGGAGAUAUCUCGUUCUCCCCGAAAUAGCUUUAGGGCUAGCCUCGGACGUUUACCUGCGGAGGUAGAGCACUGAAUGGUCGCGGGGGCCUCACCGCCUACCAAGACCAAUCAAACUCCGAAUGCCGCAGGCCCAGAGUCCGGGAGUCAGAACAUGUGGGCUAAGCCGUGUGUUCGAAAGGGAAACAGCCCAGACCGCCCGCUAAGGUCCCCAAAUCCGUGCUAAGUGGCAAAGGAUGUGCGUUUGCUCAGACAACCAGGAUGUUGGCUUAGAAGCAGCCAUUCAUUCAAAGAGUGCGUAAUAGCUCACUGGUCGAGUGGACAUGCGCCGACAAUAUACGGGGCUAAGCACGGUACCGAAGCGGCGGACUGUUUUUAACAGUGGUAGGGGAGCUUUCCGUCUGGGGCGAAGCCGCGGGACGACCCGCGGUGGACCGGCCGGAAGUGAGAAUGCUGGCAUGAGUAACGAGAGGGGCGUGAAAAACGCCCCCGCCGUAAACCCAAGGUUUCCGGGGCAAGGCUAAUCCUCCCAGGGUCAGUCGGGAGCUAAGGCGAGGCCGGAAGGCGUAGCCGAUGCACAGCAGGUGGACAUUCCUGCACCUCCGACGCGACGCUAUCACCGACGGGGCGACGAAGAAGGGUAGCUCAGCGGGGUUCUGGACGUCCCCGUGAGGCCACGUAGGCCGAGAGGUAGUGAAACGCGCCUCUCGCGAAGGCUGAGGUGGCGGACGAAACGAUUGAGCGAAGUGAGCGAGCCCAUGCUUCCGAGAAAAACCCCUAGGGAGCCGCUAGGAGCCCGUACCGCAAACCGACACAGGUGGGUGGGUAGAACAUACCAAGGCGAUCGGGAGAACUAUGGUUAAGGAACUCGGCAAAACUGCCCCGUAACUUCGGGAGAAGGGGUGCCGGCCUGGGUGGAGGGACUUGCUCCCCGAGCCAGGGUCGGCCGCAGCGAAGAGGUCCAAACGACUGUUUAUCAAAAACACAGGACUCUGCUGAAGUCGUAAGACGACGUAUAGGGUCUGACGCCUGCCCGGUGCCGGAAGGUCACGAGGAGCUGUCAGCGCGAGCGAAGCAGCGAAUCUAAGCCCCGGUAAACGGCGGCCGUAACUAUAACGGUCCUAAGGUAGCGAAAUUCCUUGUCGGGUAAGUUCCGACCUGCACGAAAGGCGUAACGAUUUGGACGCUGUCUCAACCAUAGACCCGGUGAAAUUGCACUAGUCGUGAAGAUGCGACUUACCCGCGGAAGGACGGAAAGACCCCGUGAACCUUUACUGCAGCUAGACAUUGGCUGCCGGUUCGCCGUGUAGAGGAUAG
Molecule: ribosomal RNA, 2156 nt
Filed under: gut metagenome
Description: bacterial LSU rRNA
Rfam family: Bacterial large subunit ribosomal RNA
Source: RNAcentral